Molecule: unclassified non-coding RNA, 366 nt
Filed under: Hevea brasiliensis (rubber tree)
Lineage: Eukaryota; Viridiplantae; Streptophyta; Magnoliopsida; Malpighiales; Euphorbiaceae
Source: RNAcentral
AGGCAGCCUAUUUAUACAAUAAUUUUAAAAUAGGAAUAUUCUAAAGUAGGAAAUUAGAAUAUUCAAAAUAUAAAUGCUUAUUUUACAACCUUAAUUAGGUACCCUAAUUAUAGCGCUAACUAGGAAAUAUACAAUAAAGAAAAAAAAAAUCCUAAAUAGUAAGAAUAUUAUCAGUACUCCCCCUCAAGAUGGUGCAUAUAUAUCUUGCAUGCCCAUCUUGCAAAUGUGUGUGAAUCCUUAAUCUUAUGGAUUAAGUUGUAAGACUUUUCGUAGUGUAUUCCACAAAACUUGGUACUAGAAUGUUACAUAUCAACCUGCACACUUACUAAAAUAGAGAAAUAAGGAGAGAGAGAUAGAAAUAGAUGA